RNAcentral lists this long non-coding RNA (1472 nucleotides) under Olea europaea (common olive). Its description in RNAcentral is "long non-coding RNA (OEUR_LNC015351)". Lineage: Eukaryota; Viridiplantae; Streptophyta; Magnoliopsida; Lamiales; Oleaceae. The record is from RNAcentral.
UAAAUGAAAUCGAAUCUUAAAAGUGAAGACGAAGUAAUCUAAUUCAUUCCUUCGGAUGAUUUUUCAACCAAUUUUUCACAUUUAGCCGAGCAGGGUGAAAUUGGCUAAUUCACCCACUAGAAUACCUCGUGUUCCUUUAAGGAUUUUUUUGUCAAAAAUAUUUAUUAGCAUGGGACAGUGAGAAAAUGAAUCUUGUUCAUUGUACUAUCAAAUCAUAUCCAAUAUUGAGUGCCAAAUGCUACAUUUGGUCUUCAGUGUCAGCAUGGUGCGGACAACGACAUACUAGUUUUGUGAAGAUACCAUUUAACUAAACACAAGAGGUUGUCUUUGCAGUGAUUAGUUUAGGCAAUUACUUUUUUGUUCGUUAUUUUAUAGGUUCAAAUCAAAUGUAUGGGAUUGCCAGUUAUUCCUUGAUUGACGUUAAGCGUAAGCUAUUGCCAGCAGAUACCAAGUUAGAAAAGUAAUCAGAAAUGUGGUUUUGGCUAACUUACCCAAACACCGUCUAUUGAUUUGAAUUUAUAGGAUUACAAUGUAACAGGAUAACCAAAGCAAGAGAAAAUGUAGGAGCUAACUUAGCUCACAGCUGUACGUGUUAGUCUACUAAAUCAAUUACAAAGAUUCAUAAUUCAAAUAAUUCAAGUGGUUAAGUAACGUUAGAAGGAGAUAAUAUAGUAGCAAAACAUGGAGAGAAAUCUUCAGCAUAUGAAAGUUUGGGAUCAUCUUUACCAGACAUCUUAACACAUAAUUUAUCAUAAGAAACAAUACAUCAACUGAAAUUCUAGAAAGGUUUAAAAUUUCUCUACUUGUCUUUGUUUCUUAAUUAAUCGAAUGGACACUAACUAAACAAGAUAUGGCUACACAGAAUCGAUAAAUGAGAUCAUCAUCAACAGAUCUGAGACUAGGCAAGUAAAACCCUAGUCAUGAACACCUUCGAAACAGAUUAAAAAGCCAGAGAUGCAAAAGAAUACUUACAGAUCAGUAAAAUAAAUAGCUACGAACAAAAAAGGAUCAGAUUUUAUACCCACAAACUAAAUAAAAAUCAGAAAACAGACACAGAAAAAAAUCAUCCCUUAAACCCUCGAGAAACGCCCAAUCUGUAGCCACGAGGCAUCAAGGAUAAAUACAUAUCCGAAAACACAUACAUAUUGAAAAGAUAAAUGGAGAGAAUUUGAUUUUUGGCGCACCACAUAUUAUAAAUAAAUAAAUAUGAAAAUGAGUGAGCUUAGGGGAGAAUUGAAAAUACCUGAAGACAGGAAGGGCAAACGAAACGGGAAAGUUUUGAGGGGGCAGAUUUGGGGGUUCGUUUCGGAGAUGUCGAAGGUUAAAGUUUAAGGCUCGCCUUCAAAGUGGGUAUUUUCAUCUUCUUCCUUCUUCCUUGUUAUCUUUUUCUACAAUUCCUGAGUUGCCCACCCUUUGGCAUGGGUUUAUCAUCCACUUUGUCAUAGGUCUAUUUAUGAAUUAUAACGACAUAA